This 14347-nucleotide long non-coding RNA is filed under the name Sorghum bicolor (sorghum). RNAcentral describes it as "long non-coding RNA (SBIC_LNC009317)". Lineage: Eukaryota; Viridiplantae; Streptophyta; Magnoliopsida; Poales; Poaceae. The record is from RNAcentral.
UUUUUUUUUUUCCCUUCUUCCUCCUCUUCUUCGACAUCUGAUGUUUAAAAUGGAGCGAGCAACUCCAGCGUAACUUAAAUAAGGCCCUACUUUUUUAUUUGGCUACUAACCACUAUUUUUAGUAGUCUAACAAAUUUCUUUCACUCCAGCAGAAGCCUCAAAACAAAGCAUCCAUGUUAGCAGCUAUGACAUAGGGGACUCACGCAUCAUUGAGCCAAACCUUUCUUUCCUACUUCCUAUCUGCAUGCACACAGGAAAGGGACCAAGAAGACAUGGCAUUAUCCCAUUUGUUCGCCAUGGAUGGGCACCCACGCCACCACCACCUCGCCCCUCCGUGUGCCUUCUCCCUCGCCACGGUGCCCCUCAAGCGCUGCCGCCACUCGAGCUCGUCAAUCUCCCGCCACAUGUCACAUCUAACCUUGAUAUCUGCCUAUCUGGCACCGCAGUCGCCCACUGCACCCGCCGCGCUGCAUCUUGACGUAAAUCGGCACCGUGAAGUGACGUUCUCACCUCACCUUUAUAGGACCGUCCCGCCUAGGAAUGGCAACGGGUAUGUACCCGAUGGGUACUGGCCACCCGUACUCGCACCCGCUAGGUCAAAACCCAUUCCAUCGGGUUACCCGCGAAAGCAGACGGGUAAGAAAUUCAUUCUGUACCCGCACCCGACGGGUAAUUCUUACCCGACGGGCAUUCCAUACCCGAAAAUAUACCAAAGUUCAACAGAAAUAUAAUAACUUUUAGCAAGUUAAAUAUCACAACUUCUAGGAAAUUAAACAUAAUAACUUCUAGCAAAUUAAUAGCGGCACUAGUAGCACACCAGCCGCUCGACACUUCCCACGUUCAGCCAAUCAGUUCAUGGGCUAUAUGGGCUAAAUUGCUUAGGUUGUUUACUCAUUUUGCGGGUAUUUCUUACCCACGGGUACGCGGGUAUGGGUACUACUAUUCCACACCCAUACCCGCCAUACCCGAUGGGUAAAGGAUUUCGCCUAAUAACGUACCCGCGGGUACAGAAUCCAUUCUAUACCCGCGUUCUUAUCGGGUAAAACCCGUCGGGUACUCGGGUUUCGGGUACCCAUUGCCAUUUUGAGUCCCGCCUUCCUCAGCACCAGCAGGUCCUAGCCAAGCGGCGAGCAGAUCCGGUCAGAUGAAGCUUGGCGCACGGGUCCUAGCCGGGUGGCGAGCUACGGUCCUAUCUCUGGUGACUCCUCUUCUUCUCCUCCCGGUCGACUAUCGUCCCUCGUUGGAGGUUCCGUACGACAGCGGGGUGGGAAACAACUGCAACAGCCAGAUGGAGGCUGGGGUGUUGGGCCAACCAAAAUGGGGUCUGGUGGGAGGAUUUUGGUGCCCCAACAAAUUUAGGGUCCAUAGUAGAUUUUUACCAUGGACAUCUAUAUUUAGAUAUUGGAGCUCAAGUAGGGGCUCUACUGGGGUUGCUUUAAUGACAUUGCAAGAUUUAGCCAUUUUAUCACCUACCCAUUUUUGUACAUAUAGAAACACAACAAGAGUCACUUCAACUCUAAUGUAACUUACCAAUACAGUACAUCCCAAAAAAUUGACUAGAGGAAUCUUUAUAGUCACGCACGAAAUUUGUAGUAACUUCCUUUUCUAAGCAUGCUACAUAGGAAGAAGAAAGAUACACACUUUGAAACCACUAUCCAACCAUCUAUUAAGAGCAUCUCCAACAGUUAUACAACUGGAAUUUGUCAUUUGUUGGAGUUUGUCAAGUACCAAAAUGUUUUGCCAAAUGAAAAAUAAGUUCAUCUCCAAGUGUUUGACAUUUUUGACUUGACAUUUCCCAAAAUAGUGGACCCAACUAUUUUUGUCCGCGAAUCUUUCAUCUUUGCGGGAAAUUUUCUCGUCGCUGCGAUCGAUCUCCUAGCCUCGCUCGCUGCAACAAAACGAGGCGGCGAUGGAUCUCCUAGCCUCGCGUCGCUGCAAGAAAAGGAGGUGGCGAUGGAUCUCCUUCGUCCCCGUGCGAAGAAAGGAGGCGGCGCGCAGAAAAAGGAGGCAGCGCGCGGGGGAACGAGAAUAGUCGCGCGCGAGGACUCAUAUCACGUGAAACUACCGUUACGUGGAGAGUACGGGCACGACAAGGAGUCUAAGAUUCUCGGGAUAUCAAAAUUGCCAAGGCAUUGUGUCUAUGCAAAAAUGCCAAGUUUGGUCCAUCAAAUGUCAAGUUUGCCAAAAUGUAUAAGUCAAAUGCAAAACUGUUGGAGAGCAAUUUUUAAAGUUUUUGGCAAAUUUUAAGAAUGCAAAGUCCAAUUACAUAAUUAUUGAAGAUGCUCUAACAUGUUCCAAACAGCCGCUGUUUAAAAUUAGCUAGCUAAAAGUUUGUCGGAUAUUAGUUAUUAGCUAGCUUAACUUUUAGUGUUAAUGGAUCCAAAUAUAACCUUAUACAUCCGUUCGGCACCGACUUCACUAGACUCACGAUUCCUGGCAGUUACUGAGGCCCAUGUUUAGAUGCAAAAUUUUCUAAAAGUUUGACACUGUAGCACUUUCGUUUAUAUUGACAAACAUUGUCUAACUAUAGACUAACUAGGCUAAAAAAAUUAGUAUUGUAAUUGAUAAGUAAACUGUAUAAUUAAUUAUUUUUAAUUAUAUUUAAUAUUUUAUAUACACGUCCAAAAAUUUGAUGUAAUAAAAAAUCUUAUAAAUUUUUAGAAUUUUGGGUGCAUCUAAACAAGCUCUGACAGGAUUCGGAGAGUCGACCGGAGUGUCCCGCAAGAGUACCGAUCGUCAUGGGGCGCAUGCAUGCAAAGGGACGAAAGCAAGGCUAUGGGGCUUCUUAGAACAACUCCAACACUACCCUAUAUGCACUUGGCAAAUCUUAAUUUUUAGCAAAACAUGGAAAAAGCUCCUCCAACACUACCCUAUAUGCACUUGGCAAAAUAGGAUGCUUGGCAAAAAGAGGGCCAACUGGCUCAAAUUUAGGAGCGUUGGGAGCGCUUGGCAUCCUGCCUACGCGGUGGGACCCACACAUUCAGCAUGCACGCAUGCCUUAAAUAGAUUGCAACUUUUGCAUAAAAGUCCCUCUGAUUUUUUCAGGAAUCACAAGAUAGUCCAAAUUUGCCAAAAAAUAGCUAACUGUUGGAGAAGUCUCUUUUUUUCACCUGGCAUUUGAGCUUUACACUUGGCAAAAUCCAAAAUUUGUCAAGUGAAGUUUAGGGUAGUGUUGGAGUUGCUCUUACAGCUGGCGGGUCAGUGGAGCUUUUUGGUAUUUUUUUUUUCUAAUUUUAGACACAGAUAUAUAUGGUAAGUGUUUUCUAAUUUUAGACACAGAUAUAUAUGAUAAGGCCAGUCUCAAUGCAUAGUUUCAUGGCACAGUUACCAAGACUAUAAACUAGGUAACCGAGCCAUAGGAGUUUUAUGGGGAUGAAACUCUUCUCUCAUCUGAUGAAACUCCUUCAUUUAAUGACCCUGCUAAGUCAGCAAUUUUGCUUAUAUGACACCUUAUUUAAUGUGCAUGACACUCUCAUAAAACAUGCAUUGAGACUGGCCUAAGUGGUCUGAGAUUGAAGAAAAACUUAGUGCGCUAUAGUGGUGUUAUAGCUGCUGAACACGUUUACUGCUAAGCUAUUUGUAUUUUUUAUCUAUCACAAGCUUUACCGCUAUUACACGCUAUAGCGCCGUUAAGUUGUAUUUGCUAUGACAACUUUCACCGUUAUUAUGCGCUAUAGCACCGCUAUGAUAAAUCUUCUCAAUCUAACUCUCAAAAACUCCAUCUUAGACUAGAUUAUCAUUUAUCAUUUGCAACUAAUUUAGUAUUUUGGACAAUUAAGCUUUCAUGAACCAUGUUGUAAUGUCAUCUUGGUAUUUAGUAAUGUUUUCUAGACUUACAAAAAUAUAUUUUUAUACAUCAAAAUUCAUAUUUACCAUAUUUUUUUAUCAAUUACUCUGGUUUUUUAUGUAUUUUUAAUAAAAACGCCAUCUGUCAUAGCGUCACUAUAGCUGCAUAGCUGCUUAAAAAAAGUUGCCGCUAUUUUUAAUAGUCCGUUAUUUUAAACUUUGGCUGAGACUUUUAUUUUUUAGAUAUAUUUUAUAAAUUUUAUUAUCGAUGUUUUUAUAUAAGACUACUAUAAAUUUUUAUGUUUUUUUGUUAGGAGAGGUUAUAGUAGAUCAAAAUUAAUGUAACACUUUUAUUUAGUCUCUUAAAUUUUUUUACUUGAGUUUGUUCGCUGAAUUGAAAAGUCAUGAUAGAAAUUAAUGGCAAGAGAAAAACAGGCUGGCAGGCGUACGACAGAUCGUUUGGUCGCUGGCUGUGCCUUCCGCAGGUAAAUCAGGUGAUGCGUGCAGCGUGCUACGGCCUUGUUUAGUUCUAAUAGUAUAAAGUAGACAAUAAAAUAUUUUUAUUUAUAUUUAAUAAAUAUUAUCUAAUUAAAUUAGACUCAGAAAAUUUGUCUCGCAAAUUAUAGAUAAAUUGUAUAAUUAUUUAUUAUUUUUAUUUAUAUUUAAUAUCCCACGUAUGCGCUGUAACUAGUGGCGAAGCUAGAGUAAAUUAGAGGGAGUGCACUUAGCUUUUGGAUACAUAAAUAUCUUCCACAGGGGUGCAUAUAUUGUAAAAUUUUAGGCUUAAUCACUGUUUUUAAAAUUUUUGGAGGUGUAUUUGCACCCCCUAAUAACCACGUAGCUUCGCCCCUGGGUGUAACAUUACGAAGAAUCUGAAGUUUUUUGUGAAAUUUUGUGCAAUUUUUUGUGACAUUUACGCAUAUCAAAAGUACGUACGUGCAUGCAUGCGUACGUAUGGAUCAUUAAUGGGUCAGAACGGUAGCGUGGUAGAAGUGACACCAGUAAUUCUUCGAUGUAUCCUCAUCCACACACCGGUCUCGAACGAGUAUGAUACAGUACCGAUGCACGGGACAGGACGGACGUUGUAUACGGAACAGCGAAACAAACAGGUGCACGUGCAACAGCAGCGGCGGUCUGGGUUGGGGUUGCGGGUGCCCACCCCAACGGACGGGCUACGGCGACAAGUACUGUGACAUACCAUGCGUAAAGGUACGGUACAGCUCCUCCCCCGUGGGCUCCAUGUGAUGUCGCCUCUGGUACUAGGCCUUGUUUAGUUCCGAAAAGAUUUCGGAUUUCGGUACUGUAGCACGUUCGUUUGUUUGUGACAAAUAUUAUCCAAUUAUAAACUAACUAGGAUCAAAAGAUUCGUCUCGCGAUUUCUAGCUAAACUGUGUGAUUAGUUUUUGCUUUCGUCUAUAUUUAAUGCUUGAGGCAUGUGCCACAAGAUUUGAUGUGACGAGAAAUUUUGAAAAGUUUUUGCUUUUUGGUGAACUAAACAAGGCCUAGUGUCGCGCCUGACACAUGGGAGCUGGUUUGGACGUGCGACGUGGCCUGCAUGCACGCAUGCCAGGUCGCCACGACUGGGCUGCGUGCAGCUUUGAAGGCAUGGAUGCGUGCGUGCCCGCAGCCGGGACGGCGGUCCUCCAUCGUCAGCACACCAAACUUUUUUGGGUGUGCCGAAGGAUCGAGGAAGGCUACGCGACGUGAUGACCCAACACUAGGGCCUUGUUUAGUUCCGAAAACUGAAAAGUUUUCAGAACUAUAGUACUUUCGUUUUUAUUUGACAAUAUUAUCCAAUUAUAGUGUAACUAGGCUUAAAAGAUUUAUCUCGUGAUUUACAGAUAAACUGUACAAUUAGUUUUUAUUUUCAUCUAUAUUUAAUACUCCAUGCAUGUGGUGUUGAAAUAUAAGGCAUUUUCAUAUUUAUUUUAAUCCAUAAAAAUGACGCAAUAAGAGGGAUAAUUACAACAUGAAUUAUUUGAGAAAAACAAUUCAUGACACAUAUUAAAAGGAUGGCUAUCAAUUUGCAGAAGCAAAAUAAAAAGACAUAACAUGCAACUAAUAUUAUUUUAUUUAUGUGAAUCAUCAUAGAUGUGAGCAAUGUAUCCUCAAUAACCGAAACAAAGAUGAGUACAGAAAUAUAUGGUACCAAUAAAAGAUUAUUCACAUGAUCAUCCAAGCAAAACAUGUAGGAUAAUAGCAAAAUGCUACCUAGGGACAUCAUGAUAUUAACAGUCAAAUUAACAAUAGGAUGAAGAAGAUUAUACCCUGCGGCAGAACCGCUCGCACCGAGAAAAGUCAUGGUGGUGCUUUGUCGUUGUAGUCGUCCCGCUCGAUGCAGUGUCGAAAAGGUUGCCGUGUAGUCACCGCAGAAUCACCAUCGAGUAGUCGUGUCGCCAACGACACUCCCCAAAAACGUAUUCGCCCGUCCUCACCCGAGCAGAUGAAGCGCACAACGGAGACGCGUUCCGGAGGCCUACUCUUCCAUCUCUGAUGCUCGCCGGAGAUGGAACGGAAAGGACUUGCGCAACUGGAUGUGGUUCUUCUUUCGUAAGAGAACCGAGAGAGUUCGGGUCCUUUUAUAGGCAAGCAGAAGGAGGAAGGCCAGGCGCGGAACAGAAAGGUCGUGACUCUUUGCGGUGAAGGAGACAGAAACGGACAGGAGUGACCAGAAACUCCUCUCAAUCAAGACCAUGAAGGCAGGAGUUACGGGAGUUACCAGAAACUCUUCUCAAUCAAAACCAUGAAGGCAGGAGUUACGGGAGUUACCAGAAACUCCUCUCAAUGAAAACCAUGAAGGCAGGAGUUACGGGAGUUACCAGAAACUCCUCUCAAUCAAAACCAUGAAGGAAUGAGAUGCAAAGUUAAAGACCUCGCCUGCCCGCCCGUCCGCUCGUUCGCUGCCUGCCCUGCGGCGCCACACCACGCCGUCUCUCGGUUAAAUUCCCAUACGGUACAAAAUAAAUUAAUGCACACGUAAGGACCAUAGAGUUUAAUAGAUAUUAUUAAAUUAAUGGGCUAGGCCCAUAAUAUCCAACAAUCCCCACCAAACUCUAGGGUACACAAUUUGAAGUUCUCAAAUACCACAUUCUUUUUAUAUACCAGUGUUUCGAUGGAGACUGUUAAGUUGAACAUCCAUCUAGAAGACUAGCUACACUCAGCCACAACUGAACAAUGGACGGAACCUUGAAUUGACAGUUUUGUGUGAGAUGAGUUUCGCAAAGCCUCUUAAUUGAUACUAGGCUGCCAAGUACCUUCCCUCUGUUUGAAGCAUAUAAGUCACACUUCGGGGCCUUUUCAUGAGCAUCUAGAGAUUACCCACAUCUCAUAGAUUGUGACUAGCAAUCGAGCUCAUAUAGGUGUGUUCCUUAUAGGAUGUCCUAUAGGACAACAUCCCCGCUUUACCAAGCCGCUCGGAUCACAUUAAGAACUUAAUCAACCUGCCUUACAGUACUGGAGAGACGGUGCAUCUCCAACGAGCUGAGUUAUAGUCUAAGGGGUCUCUCCCUCAGUCAGUCAACAGCUUGUUUCACCAUCCUAAUUCAUGGGAUCUCCAAUCACAUAGGACAGGUUACUACUGCUGCUGGCUCUAUGUGGGUCUCAAACCCAGCUCCCUCGACGCGCCUUCUAUCACAUUUCGUGACAGACCCUUAGUGAAUUGAUCUGCCAGAUUGUUUGAUGUAUGGACAUAGUCCAAGCUAAUUACUCCGGAGUUUCUCAAUUUUCUGACAGUCUUCAAACGUCGUUUCACAUGCUUUGUGGACUUCAUGUUAUCCUUAGAACUAUUUACCUUUGUAAUCACAGUUCAUAGAAAUUGCCGGGAUUGGUUUCUCAACAAUCGGCAAGUCCAUCAGGAGAUCUCGAAGCCACUCAGCCUCAGCACUAGCAGUAUCCAAUGCGGUCAGUUCUGCUUCCAUUGUAGACUUCGUUAAGAUAGUCUGCUUGCAAGACUUCCAAGAAACAGCACCACCUCCAAAUAGGAACACAUAUCCACUCGUGGCAUAAAGCUGAUCCGCAUCAGAAAUCCAAUUAGCAUCACAGUAACCCUCUAGUACCCUUGGGUACCCAGAAAAGUAAAUGCCAUAACUCAUUGUCCCUUUCAAGUAGUGCAACACUCUUUCAAGAGCGUUCCAGUGAGUAUCUCCCGGAUUUGACACAAACCGGCUCAAUUUGCUCACAGCAAAUGAGAUAUCAGGCCUGGUUGCGCUAGCUAGGUACAUGAGAGAGCCAAUUAUCUGUGAAUAUCUCAGUUGGUCUCUUGCAAUUCUGCGAUUCUUUCUCAAAUGAACGUUUGGAUCAUAUGGGGUAGGAGCAGGCGUACACUCACUGUACCCAAAUCGGUUCAAGACCUUUUCCACAUAGUGGGACUGCAUAUGAGUUACCCCACCAUUUCCUUCCUCCCGUGAAAGCUUAAUGUUAAGAAUGACAUCAGCCUCAUCCAAGUCUUUCAUCUCAAAAUUGUUUGACAAAAAUUCUUUUACUUCUUUGAUCACAUUUAAAUUGUUGCCAAAUAUUAAUAUAUCAUCCACAUAUAAGCUCAGUAUCACACCAUCACCACCACCAAACCGAUAGUAUACACAUUUAUCAGCUUCAUUCACAGCAAAGCCGGCUGAUGUUAAAGUUUUGUCAAACUUCUCAUGCCACUGCUUUGGGGCUUGCUUUAGGCCAUACAAGGACUUCAAUAACUUACAAACCUUACCCUCCUGACCAUUUGCAAUGAACCCAUCAGGCUGAUCCAUGUAGAUCUCUUCCUCAAGCUCUCCAUUUAGGAAAGCUGUCUUAACAUCCAUCUGAUGAAUGAGAAAACCAUGUGAGGCAGCCAGGGAUAGUAACACACGAAUAGUCGUCAGUCGGGCAACAGGUGAGUAAGUGUAAAAAAAAUCUUCACCUUCCUUCUAGGUAUAGCCCUUAGCAACAAGCCUGGCCUUGUACUUCUCAAUUGUACCAUCAGGCCUCAGCUUCUUUUUAAACACCCAUUUGCAGCCCACAGGCUUGCAACCAAAUGGACGGUCAACCACUUCCCACGUCCCAUUGGACAUAAUAGAAUCCAUCUAACUUUGCACUGCCUCUUUCCACAUAUCAGAAUCAGGAGAGGAAUAUGCCUCAGAAAUGGUUGUGGGUGUCAUCCACGAGGUAUAUAAUAAAGUCUUCUCCAAAGGAUUUAGCAACUCUUUGCCUCUUACUUCUUCGAGUGACAGUAUUAUCAGCCUCCUCAGAAUUUUGCUCAAGCUCAUGGGUGUUGUCAUCAGCGUGUAUAUUUGAAUCAUGAGAUUCAGGAACAGAGUCAUGACUAGACACGCUAGGUGCACCUAUUUUCAUAGGAAAUUCAUUCUCAAAGAACGUGGCAUCUCUAGACUCCAUGACAGUCCCAACAGCCAUAUCAGGAGCAUUAGAGUUUAUUAUUAAAAACCGAUAGCCCACACUAUGAAUGGCAUAGCCGAGGAAAACACAAUCUACAGUUUUCGGUCCAAGCUUUCGCUUUUUGUUUAUUGGCACGUUCACUUUGGCCAAACAACCCCAAACGCGAAGAUAAGAAAUAUUUAAUCUCUUUUUCUCCCAUUCCUCAAAUGGAGUAAUUUAUUUGUUCUUCAUGGGCACUCUAUUUAGGACAUGAUUCGCAGUUAGAAUUGCCUCACCCCACCAUUCCUUAGAUAAACCAGCAGUCUCCAACAUGGCAUUCACCAAAUCAGUUAGAGUGCGGUUCUUUCUCUCAGCAAUCUCAUUGGAUUGAGGUGAAUAUGGAGGUGUCCUCUCAUGGAUUAUACCGUGAACCGCGCAGAACUCAGAAAAUUCAGUAGAGAAAUAUUCUCUCCCACGAUCGGACCUCAACCGUUUGAUUUUCUUCUCAAGUUGAUUCUCAACGUCAGCUUUAAAGGUUUUAAAAUAUUGCAACGCCUCAUCUUUUGUUUUAUUUAGGUACACAUAACAGUGUCGAGUGCAAUCAUCUAUGAACGUUAUGAAAUAUCUUUUACCACCUUUUGUUAAAAUUACGUUCAUUUCACAAAUAUCGGAAUGGAUGAGUUCAAGUGGUGCCAACUCUCUCGCCACAGCAGCCUUGUGAGGCUUGCGAGGUUGUUUUGCCUCAACGCAUGUAUGGCACUUUGAAUUUUUGGCAACAUCAAAUUUAGGAAUUAAAUUUAAAUUAGCUAAGCGAGACAUGCAGCCAAAAUUAAUAUGACAUAAUCGAGAAUGCCAAACAUUCAUCUCAACAUUAACGUUAUUAACCACAUUGUUCACGGCAAGAGGUAAAGUGUCAUCUAGCGACAAGCGGAACAAGCCUCCGCUUUUAUAGCCUUUUCCAACAAAGGUUCCAUACUUUGACAUUACACAUUUAUUAGACUCAAACACAAGUUUAAAGCCAUCACGGCAUAGCAAAGAGCCACUAAUCAGAUUUUUCCUUAUGGAGGGGACAUGAUGCACGUUCUUGAGUUGCACGGUCUUCCCCGAAGUAAGCUUCAGAUCCACCGUACCAACACCAUGAACACCAGCACGCGCACCAUUCCCCAUCAGCAAGGCUCCACUCCUCCCGACCUGGUAACAGGAAAACAAGGACUUAUCAGCACACACAUGUAUAUUUGCACCUGUAUCAACCCACCAAUCAGGUGAGGAACAAACUGAAAAUGCAGAUAAAUUGCCAUACCCAGAAGCACCUGCAUCAGUCUCAAUGGUGUUAGCUGUCUUCGCCUUUGGUGGGGGCUUCCAUUUAGCCUCAGGACACUCUCUAGAGAAGUGCCCAUUGUUCCCACAGGUGAAGCAAGUCAUCUUCGCCUUGUCAAAUCCCAUCUUCUUGUUAUUACCUUUCUUGAAGAAAGUAGUGGAUUUCUGCUUAAGCUCCUGUUGGGGCUUCUUCCUCUGUGGUUUAGGACGAAACUUUUGCACCACAUGUGCACUAGUAGUCGCCUCACCGUUUCCGCCCUUUCCCUUCCCCUUGACAUCCUUUGCUCUAGCCUUGUCCUCGACAUCAAGACUGCCAACAAGUUCAGCAAUACUAAACUGCUGCCUCUUGUGCUUCAAGGUAGUAGCAAAAUCAGUCCAGGAAUGUGGCAGCUUAGCAAUUAUGCAGCCUGCCACAAACCUGUCAGGGAGAAGAUAUCCGUACAGCUCUUAUUUUUUCACCAGUCCCUGUACCUCAUGAGCCUGUUCGACUACAGAACGGUUAUCAACCAUCUUGUAGUCAUGGAACUGCUCCAUGAUAUACAGCUCAGAACCAGCGUCAGAAAGACCGUAUCGGGCCUCAAGAGCCUCCCACACAGCUCUGCCCGACGGGAGUGGUAUGUAGGCAUCAACCAGCGAAUCAUGGAUGAUGCUCAACAGUGCAACCUUGCACAUAGUCUCAGCAUGUCCCCAGGCCUCCUCAUCCUGCUCGGAUCUCACACCGGCAGGCUGCUCCUGGAGCACAUGACCACAGCGCAUGGCUGACAACCACAGAAGGGCUUCCUCACGCCACCUCUUGUAGUGAGUGCCCUCAAAUGGCGUAGGCUUUAGCAUGCCCGCAAAGCCAACGGAUGAAAAUGGCCUGAAAUUUACGUUUUUGGAUUGUUGAAAUAUAAGGCAUUUUCAUAUUUAUUUUAAUCCAUAAAAAUGACGCAAUAAAAGGGAUAAUUACGACAUGAAUUAUUUGAGAAAAACAAUUCAUGACACAUAUUAAAAGGAUGGCUAUCAAUUUGCAGAAGCAAAAUAAGAAGACAGAACAUGCAACUAAUAUUAUUUUAUUUAUGUGAAUCAUCGUAGAUGUGAGCAAUGUGUCCUCAAUAACCGAAACAAAGAUGAGUACAGAAAUAUAUGGUACCAAUAAAAGAUUAUUCACAUGAUCAUCCAAGCAAAACAUGUAGGAUAAUAGCAAAAUGCUACCUAGGAACAUCAUGAUAUUAACAGUCAAAUUAACAAUAGGAUGAAGGAGAUUAUACCCUGUGGCAGAACCGCUCGCACCGAGAAAAGUCAUGAUGGUGGUGCUUUGUCGUUGUAGUCGUCCCGCUUGAUGCAGUGUCGAAAAGGUUGCCGUGUAGUCGCCGCAGAAUCACCAGCGAGUAGUCGUGUCGCCAACGACACUCCCCAAAAACGUAAUCGCCCGUCCUCACCCGAGCAGAUGAAGCGCACGACAGAGACGCGUUCCGGAGGCCUACUCUUCCAUCUCUGAUGCUCGCCAGAGAUGGAACGGAAAGGACUUGGGCAACUGAAUGUGGUUCUUCCUUCGUAAGAGAACCGAGAGAGUGCGGGUCCUUUUGUAGGCAAGCAGAAGGAGGAAGGCCAGGCGCGGAACAGAAAGGUCGUGACUCUUUGCGGUGAAGGAGACAGAAACGGACAGGAGUUACCAGAAACUCCUCUCAAUCAAGACCAUGAAGGCAGGAGUUACGGGAGUUACCAGAACCAUGAAGGCAGGAGUUACGGGAGUUACCAGAAAUUCCUCUCAAUGAAAACCAUGAAGGCAGGCGUUACGGGAGUUACCAGAAACUCCUCUCAAUCAAAACCAUGAAGGAAUGAGAUGCAAAGUUAAAGGCCUCACCUGCCCGCCCGUCCGCUCGUUCGCUGCCUGCCCUGCAGCGCCACGCCACGCCGUCUCUCGGUUAAAUUCCCAUACGGUACAAAAUAAAUUAAUGCACACGUAAGGACUAUAGAGUUUAAUAGAUAUUAUUAAAUUAAUGGGCUAGGCCCAUAAUAUCCAAGAUGUGGCGGAAGAUUCGAUGUGACGGGGAAUCUUGAAAAGAUUUUGGUUUUUGGGGUGAACUAAACAAGGCCUAGGUAGGGUUUCUAAAAAAUUUUACAAAAUUUUUCAGAUUCCUCGUCACAUCAAAUCUUUAGAUGUAUGCAUGAAGUAUUAGAUAUAAACGAAAAUAAAAACUAAUUACACAGUUUGGUCGGAAUUGACGAGACGAAUCUUUUAAGCCUAGUUAGUUUAUAAUUGGAUAAUAUUUGCCAAAUAUAAACGAAAUUGUUAUUAUUCACAUUUUGCAAAAUAUUUUGCAAGUAAACCAGUAGCUGUGCGGGGAAGCCGGCAGCUAGCUAGCUAGCAUUGGACCUGUGUGCUUGCUGUAGAAGACUGUAGCACGUACGUACAACACCGUAUAAUGUGCGAGCUGGUGUCCACGAGAUGCUGAUGCAUGCACGAAUUGAGAAGCGAAUCUCUCGCGUGCCGGCACACGCAACUCCGUAUAUGCAUGUACUACGUCUCGUCCCUGUCGAGUGCCGAUUCAAAUGGACGCGAGCCGGCGAGGUGUACCAGCGUAGGUACAACAACACUGUACCGACCGACACACAGCGCGCUUGCACGGCCACCAUGCAUUCGUAUCACAUAGUACAACCGCUACCUGUCAGUCUCACAAAUCGACAUACGGAGUACUACUACCAUGGCCUUGUUUUAGGUGGUGAAAAUAUUUUGUUUUUUCUACUUGAUAAUUAUUAUCUAAUCAUAGACUAACAAAACUUAAAAAAUUCGUCUUGUAAAUUACAAGUAAACUAUGUAAUUAGUUUUUCUUUUUAUCUAUAUUUAAUGCUCUAUAUAUGUGCCACAAAAUUCGAUGUGACGAAAAAUCUUGAAAAACUUUGUAAAAUAUUUCAUGAACUAAACACGAUCUCUGCGAAUACUGAGAUUGUUUAGAACCACGAUAUAAAUUUAGUAUCUAGGUUUAACACGAAUCAAAAUAGGAAACUCUCAAAUUCAGUUACAAGCACGCCGCCCACUAACAGAGUGGCCAUUUUUCGUGUCGGCUGAAAAUCGUCAGGAAUGAACCGAAAACUGUCAGGAAAUAUAUUUCUGACGGGCAGCCGUCAGGAAUCCGCCGUCAGCAACGUCUUGACAGGAAUACCAGUUUAUUCCUGACGGCCAACCGUUAAGGAUGUAUUCCUGACGGUAACUCCUGGCGGCCGUUGAUUUACUGGGAAAUCUUUAACACCGUCGGUCUGCCCCGAUAGGAAAUCCCGUCAGGAAUCCUUGGUCGACAGGAUUCAACAUCAGAAUUCCUGUUGUAUAGCCGUCAGGAAAAAUUUAAAAAGCAACCAGAUCAAUUCUCAUUUCCUGUCAUGUUGCCGUGAGGAAUAAAGAUGACAGGAAUGUCCUAUUUUUUUCCUGACCGAAGUGGUGACAGGAAUACAAUCAUAUGCACAUCCAUCCAUUUUGAUUCUAGAAAAAAUAAAAUAUAUAAUUUGACACCACAGAGACAGAUUUAGACACAUUCUAAUCCAACUUCCAAACAGGGGUUCACAGGUCACCACAUUUGAAACUGAUUCACUAAGUCCAAAUCUAAAUUGCUCCUCGUUCAAUUCUUUCGAAGGGAUCCUUUUCCUUGUUCGGGAGUCUCCGCCCUUCUUCCACUCCGUCCCGAAGACUAACUAAGACCAAUUCUUUUCAACCAAUCACUCUUUUAUUCCAUCCUUUUUUUUACUCUGAAGAACCCCUAUUGAAAUCGAACUAAUCCAAAUCCAAUAGGAAUCAAAUCAAGAUAUACAAUUGAUAACAAUAUGCUGCAUAGAACUUGAUAUGGAAUCCAGUUCCAUAUAGAAGGGAAUUCUAUAUAUCGGAUUAGAUAAUGAAUCUAACUUAGGAAUAAAAAAAAAUCCCAUAUAC